UGCGUAGGCGGCUUUCUAAGUCGGAUGUGAAAACUCUGGGCUCAACCCAGAGCCUGCAUCCGAAACUGGAGAGCUAGGGUUCUGGAGGGGAAAGCGGAAUUCCUGGUGUAGCGGUGAAAUGCGUAGAUAUCAGGAAGAACACCGGUGGCGAAGGCGGCUUUCUGGACAGAUACCGACGCUGAGGCACGAAAGGCUAGGGGAGCAAACA
RNAcentral lists this ribosomal RNA (208 nucleotides) under uncultured bacterium. RNAcentral's name for it is "partial 16S ribosomal RNA". It matches the Rfam family "Bacterial small subunit ribosomal RNA", at positions 568 to 774 of the family's 1533-position model. The record is from RNAcentral.